CACGUAGGGGGCGAGCGUUGUCCGGAUUUAUUGGGCGUAAAGAGCUCGUAGGCGGCUCAGUAAGUCAGGUGUAAAAACUCCAGGCUCAACCUGGAGACGCCACCUGAUACUGCUGUGGCUAGAGUCCGGUAGGGGAGCAUGGAAUUCCUGGUGUAGCGGUGAAAUGCGCAGAUAUCAGGAAGAACACCCGUGGCGAAAGCGGCUCUCUGGAACGGUACUGACGCUGAGACGCGAAAGCGUGGGGAGCGAACAGG
Molecule: ribosomal RNA, 254 nt
Filed under: uncultured bacterium
Lineage: Bacteria
Description: partial 16S ribosomal RNA
Rfam family: Bacterial small subunit ribosomal RNA
Source: RNAcentral